AAGCGAAACUUGUAAGCUUUGUAACAUACAGUUCUAAGGUUAAAUGGAGGCCGUAAAAGAUAUGAACACCGACGUUAAAAUAAAAAAUAAGCUCCUCUUUAAACGUUGAAGAAAACUUCUCGGGUCAGCGCGUAUUGCUUUUAUCAUCAUCAUUAGAAACAAGCCUUAAAGACAAGAACAUCUUCACAUAUAUAUUGUUGCUAAAUAGUUUUUACAAAGGAGGAGAGAGCAGUUUACGGUUGAUUGGGAAUGAUUUCUUGACAGUAUUACUAUCUGUAAAUUACAGUUGGUAAUGAAUUACUAAAUAUGCUUCAUGGCUUUUGACAAAAAUCCAACAUACCACCAACACAAACGGAUGUAAAUCACAUCACAUAAAUUUAUUUCGAUUUUGUGCAUCAUAUAAGUAUCCACAAACAUUAGGCUAAUUCCUGCAUUCUUAAAUCCAUUAUCGAUAAAUAGAAAAGGUAGAUGUAUGGAAUGCGAAAGAUGCACAAUAGGGAAUAAAUAUAUAAAAGAAAAAGAUAGGCGUUGAAAAAGAAAUAUUAUUUUUGUCUUUUGUGUGAACUAAAAGAAACUUUCACUGGUGUUUUGCCAUAGCCAGCACUCUGAUCUUUCUUUCAUUUUCCACAGGGUAUAACAAAUAGCACGCAGAGUGUCUAGCAUGUAUAUAAUAUAGAAAAGGGCGGAAAUUAAACAGUUAUAAAUUAAUAGGCAUUGCAUC
Molecule: non-coding RNA, 721 nt
Organism: Schizosaccharomyces pombe (fission yeast)
Lineage: Eukaryota; Fungi; Ascomycota; Schizosaccharomycetes; Schizosaccharomycetales; Schizosaccharomycetaceae
Source: the annotation of a GenBank genome assembly